GUUCUUAGUUGACGGUCACACAGCGCAGCGAGCUGCGUUUUUCGUUGAUAAUUUUUAAAUUUAUUUAUUAGUUUAUUGGUUGGAAAUAGAGCUGCCCCCCAACUGCCCGCUGACCACGGAAUUAUCGGUCCGGUCCACCGCCCUCCGCUUUCACACACCAUUCGGCAAUCGAUAUAUACGCUGACGGUAAUUGGAGAACGUUUUUUCCAUUUUAUCUCCACCUUGUCCGCACUUCGUUUUGUGCUCUCUUUGUGCGCUGCCUCCGCUUAACAUUUGGGCCUGUAAGAAACAUAUAAGCAGAACGGCCCGCCGUGUGUGCCUGUGAAAUUGGUUAAAUUACGUCCAGUGGAAUGGGCCAAUGGCCAAAAUGCAAUAAGAAUAUGUGUGUGCAAUAAUAAUAGGGAACGGUACGGUACGGUGCCCCAAAACAUGAAAAUGGUGCUAGACGCUCCUAACGCCGUGCCGAGCUGGCAUAUUUUGCUUUGCGACGCCGUCGGCGCCGUUUUUCCCGGCCGCGAACUCUGCGCGAGGAAUUUACAACAAAAACAAUGAAUUAAAUGGUAUUUAAAUUGUCCAUACAAUGCGGUUUGGAAAUGCGAAAUUGUGCCUAACUUGCCCGAUGCAAACGAAUGUUUCUCUUUGAAGGCCCUGUCUUAAUGACGUCACAAGCGUAGCAGAGUGCAACAGACAGACAACAAUGACCGAUGAGCAUAAAAGUAACAUUAACAGUAACAGCAGUAACUCCAGCAACAACAACAACAACAGCAGCAGCAGUAAUAACGACAACAACAGCAACGACGACGCAGCAAGUAGCAGCAACAGCAAAAACAACAACGCCAGCAACGAGAGCAGCCACAGCAACAACAAUACUAGUAGCAUAAUUGCAGAGGCGGCCGCCAAGUUUCUACUGAAAAAUGGCCUAAACGGUAGUAGCAGCAGCAGUAGCAGCACCAGCUUUCCCCCUCUGCCACCGCCUCUGCCCGCCAACUUAAGCAGGACGACCACGCCCACGACAACGACAACGCCCUCAUCCUCCAGCUCCACCGCCUCAAAUGGCUUUUUGCCGCAUGCCAAGACGCCCAAAAGUAGUAGCAUUAUGGCUGCGUCCGCCGCAGUGGCAGCCAGCGUCGUUGGAGCUACUGCGUCCAAGCCCACCAUCGAUGUCCUGGGCGGCGUCCUGGACUACAGCUCCUUGGGCGGAGCUGCAACAGGCUCACUGCCCACCACUGCAGCAGUAGCGGCGGCAGCGGGAACAGCGAAGAUCGGCAAGGGAAGCAACUCCGGCGGAAGCUUUGAUAUGGGCAGGACACCAAUAUCGACGCACGGCAACAACAGCUGGGGCGGCUACGGUGGCCGUUUGCAGUUCUUCAAAGAUGGCAAAUUCAUAUUGGAACUGGCGCGGUCCAAGGAUGGCGAUAAAAGCGGCUGGGUCUCGGUCACGCGCAAGACCUUCCGCCCUCCAUCGGCGGCCACCUCCGCAACUGUGACCCCAACGUCCGCGGUGACCACAGCGUAUCCAAAGAACGAGAAUUCCACAUCGCUGAGCUUUUCGGACGACAACAGCUCGAUACAAUCCUCUCCUUGGCAGCGAGACCAGCCCUGGAAACAGUCCCGACCCAGGCGCGGCAUAUCUAAGGAGCUGUCGCUCUUCUUCCACCGCCCCAGGAACAGUACGCUUGGACAGGCUGCUCUCCGGACAGCCGCUCGCAAACGACGGCGCCCCCAUGAGCCGCUGACCACCAGCGAGGAUCAGCAGCCGAUUUUCGCGACGCCAGUCAAGGCGGAAAAUGGAGACGAUACUCUUAAAGCGGAAGCUGCAGAGGCCGUUGAAAUUGAAAAUGUUGCUGUGGCGGACACAUCCACAAAUGAGAUUAAAAUUGAAAAACCGGAAACGAUCAAAGGCGAGGAUGAUGCUGAACGGCUCGAAUUGGAGCCUAAGAAGGCGGCUAGCGAUGAUAGCGAGUCAAAAGAAGCAUCGCCUGGUCAGCAGGUGGAAACACAACCAAAAGAUGAGACUGUUGAGAAGAUGAAUACGAGCGAGGAUGAGGAACCCAUGACAGAGCCUCCCAGAAUCACGAAUGCCGUAAAUGGUGACCUAAACGGCGAUUUAAAGGCGAGCAUUGGGAAACCCAAAUCCAAAUCAAAGCCAAAAGCCAAGUUGAGCAGCAUCAUUCAGAAGCUUAUCGAUGGCGUACCAGCACGGCUUGAGCAAAUGUCGAAGACAUCAGCUGUGAUCGCAUCGACAACGACGCCUUCAGAGCGCAUUGGUGGCGGUCUAAGUCACGCCUUGACGCACAAAGUUUCUCCACCAUCAUCGGCGACAGCAGCCGGCCGACUAGUCGAGUACCACACCCAGCACGUGUCGCCAAGGAAGAGAAUCCUGCGCGAGUUCGAAAAGGUGUCGCUGGAGGACAACGGAUGCUUAAACAACGGCAGCGGUGGAACUACUAGCGGUGGUGCAGGAGGAAAACGUAGUCGGGCUAAGGGAACUUCGACAUCGUCACCGGCUGGCAAGGCGUCACCAAUGAACUUGGCACCACCACAAGGAAAGCCCAGCCCCAGUCCCGGCUCCAGUUCAUCCAGCACUUCGCCAGCGACCUUGUCAACGCAGCCAACGCGGCUCAACAGCUCUUACAGUAUCCACUCACUGCUAGGUGGGAGCAGUGGCAGCGGUAGCUCAUCCUCCUCCUCCUCUGGCAAGAAGUGCGGCGAUCAUCCGGCAGCUAUUAUCAGCAAUGUGCACCAUCCACAGCACUCAAUGUACCAGCCCAGUUCCUCGAGCUAUCCACGCGCCCUGCUCACCUCGCCAAAGUCGCCCGAUGUGAGCGGCAGCAAUGGCGGGGGUGGAAAAUCGCCCUCGCAUGCGGGAACCAAGAAGCGUUCGCCACCGUACUCGGCGGGAUCACCCGUAGACUAUGGCCACUCCUUCUACAGGGAUCCCUAUGCGGCAGCAGGUCGUCCUUCCACAUCGGGCUCAGCAUCGCAGGACCUGUCGCCGCCGCGCUCUUCCCCAGCAUCGCCUGCCACGACGCCGCGUACUGUGCCCAAAAAGACUGCAUCGAUCCGACGCGAGUUCGCUUCACCGUCGGCCAGCAGCAGUAGCUGUCCCUCGCCCGGCGACCGGAGUGCAUCGCCCCCGGAACGGCGGCACAUGCAGCAGCAGCCGCACCUACAGCGUAGCUCGCCGCUGCACUACUAUAUGUACCCGCCACCGCCCCAGGUAAACGGGAACGGAUCGGCCGGAAGUCCGACCUCGGCGCCGCCCACGUCGAACAGCAGUGCAGCUGCAGUAGCGGCGGCAGCAGCGGCCGCUGCCGCAUACAUUCCCUCGCCUUCGAUAUACAACCCGUACAUAUCCACACUGGCGGCGUUGAGGCACAAUCCGCUGUGGAUGCACCACUAUCAGACAGGUGCGUCGCCCCUGCUGUCGCCACAUCCACAACCCGGUGGCUCAGCGGCCGCCGCUGCUGCAGCUGCUGCUGCGAGAUUAUCGCCACAAUCGGCGUAUCACGCGUUUGCGUAUAACGGAGUGGGAGCGGCUGUUGCCGCUGCAGCAGCUGCCGCCGCCUUCGGACAACCGGCGCCCAGUCCCCACACGCAUCCGCACUUGGCUCAUCCGCACCAGCAUCCGCACCCGGCUGCACUGACCACCCACCACUCUCCCGCUCACCUGGCCACGCCAAAACUGACUGAUAGUAGUACCGACCAAAUGUCUGCAACGUCCAGUCAUCGCACCGCCUCCACUUCGCCGAGCAGCUCGAGCGCAUCGGCCUCCUCGGCGGCCACUUCGGGCGCCAGCUCCUCCGCAAUGUUUCAUACUAGUAGCCUAAGGAAUGAACAAAGUUCAGACUUACCACUGAAUCUGUCAAAGCACUGAGACAUACACACGCCCCAGCUGCCCCAGUUUCUGGGCCAACCAUUCGAGUUAAGAACAUUUUCGCACUAGUAGCGCUUAAGACGACAUUCAAUACACGUUCUCACUUAGCGCCGAACAUUUAAAAAUCGCAUACAGAAAGAGAUGAAAAACUCAACUAUGUUUUUAAACCCGUUCCAGAACUCUUUAUACAAUCAGUUAAGAAAUUUUAUUUUCGACAAGCUGGUUAAAAUAUGCAAAGGAAUUUUAUUCUAUGCCGACUAAUGGAAAAAAAUACUAAUAAAAACAUUUUCUAUAGGAUGUAUAAAAUGCAAGUCUAAAAGAAUCUCAAAAAAGAGUUACGUUUUUUUUCAUCAAAACAUUUCCUUGAAACAGACUGAACCUGAAUUUUUUUUAGAAAAAAAAAAAUGAAAAACUUAGUUACGAAUCGCAGAAUAUAACAUUUUAAAGUAUAUUUAACAAAACUACAAGAACAGAUUUUUAUAAAAUGCUUGUGCCUUUCAAAAUGGAAACGGAACUAGGGAUACAAAAAUUAAUAUUAAAAAGAAAAUCAAGUUUACUAUAAAAACAUUUAUAUGCAAGCAUGUGCAGGUAUUCUAUGGUGAAAACUUAAGAAUUUCUUUAUAUCGUGGUCCAAAAUGCAAUUGACAGCAAUUUGCACUAAGCAGAUUGUAUACGACACCAACUUUUUAAGCACCUUUAAAAAUGUAUCUUUUUAUUAUUUCGGAAUAAUCAUUCUAAAAUAGUAAAAAGAUACAAGCAAUCCAAAACCAUACAACUCGUCUGUACUUCAAAUCAAAAAGAUUUUUGUCUUACAUUUUUUGAGACUGUAAAAAGUAAAAUAUAUCUAUACUCAAUUCGAAGAAUAUGUUGAAGUUUGAAUUUGAAUCCUCUGCGGAUCUAAAUUUAACCUCCACGAUUGUUGUCACCAUCAAAAAUAUUGUAUAACUUUGCAUAGUGCAAAUUCGCUGUCAGUAGCUGUCCAAUCAAAAACAAAUAAAAUGUACAAAAAAUCCACAUAUAUACGACAAAUUUACAAGAAACGGAAAGCAAAAAGAUCCUAAGCAGACAAUUUCAAACCGGAACUCGUACAACUGAAACUGAUACAAAUAAAAAACAUAUUCCUAACGCAAAAA
This is an RNA transcript of Drosophila mauritiana, 5010 nucleotides long. It is a transcript of the gene named protein hairless, with no coding region annotated. The record is from RefSeq and is a predicted model, not a curated record. Lineage: Eukaryota; Metazoa; Arthropoda; Insecta; Diptera; Drosophilidae. The transcript has 6 exons.